ACCUCUUUUAUAUAAAAAUAAAAUAAAAUGCCAGAAAUACUUUGAUAACCCUUUAUCUCCGUGGAAUACGAUCCUGGACUUAUCCUUGAUACAACUUGACACUUCUACACUUGGAAGCACAUUCGAGAACGAGUCACCUAGUCACACUGCACUUCAUUUCUUCAACAAACGGCUUGUCCUGAGAUCCUUACCAUCACUUUCACCUUACCCACAAGGUGGGGGUAUUGCUGUCAAAGCUUCCAAGGAUUCUCCCAUGUGUUGUCCUUUUGAUUUGCACCAAUCCAUUUGACCAACACCUCCAUCGUGGCUCCAUUCCCUUGCCACUUCAUAUGUCGAUUUAUAAUAGACUUUGAUUUGGGAUGCACCUUUCCUUGGGGAUUGACUGGUGGAAGUGUCGCUAGAGACUGGAUCUCAGUGACAACCUUCCGUUUGAGGCAAGAAACAUGGAAGGUUGGAUGUAUCUUGGAGCUCAUUGGCAAUGGGAGACGGUCAGCAACUUCACCAAUCUUCUUCACCACUUGGAAAGGCCCAUACUAACGGGGAGCAAACUUUAGAUUUUGACGAGCAGCUAUCGAGCUUUGGCGGUAGGGUUGCAACCACAGGAAUAUGACUGUAAUUUAUGCAUAUAUAGUCGGAAAGUGAUGACUUUUGAGGACUUUUGGAGCACAUAACAAACACUAUAUAUUAAUUUAAGGGCUAGGCAAAGACAGACAGACAGACGGCAAGGUAUCGAGGUUUUAACUCUGAGCAGAGAUGGGUCUCCAGUACUCGGCCUUCCUCCGUUUCACAACAUUUUUCAUGCUAAUCGCUGCAACAUUAUUGGCCAUGCAUCCGUAUCAGAUAUCUGCAGAUUAUAUGAAAGCAAGAAAACUAGGUGGGAAACCCCAGCCAAGUCCUCCCCCUCCUCCACAUCCAAGCACGGGUCAGAGCCCAAAUCCACCACCGACGUCCACCCGGUCUGCCACUACAAGCGGCAAGACUUAGUGGCAGUCGUAAUAUUCCUUAGUUUAAAAGGAGUAAUUUAAGGGUUUGUAAUAUAUACUAAGGUGUUUAAUGUUUUUCCUUAAUAAUAAUAAUAGAAAAAGAGGGGAGUUCAAUUCCUACUGUUCUCUCCGAGGA
Molecule: long non-coding RNA, 1119 nt
Organism: Carya illinoinensis
Lineage: Eukaryota; Viridiplantae; Streptophyta; Magnoliopsida; Fagales; Juglandaceae
Exons: 4
Source: RefSeq, a predicted model, not a curated record